This 465-nucleotide ribosomal RNA is filed under the name uncultured bacterium. RNAcentral's name for it is "partial 16S ribosomal RNA". It matches the Rfam family "Bacterial small subunit ribosomal RNA", at positions 28 to 507 of the family's 1533-position model. The record is from RNAcentral.
GACGAACGCUGGCGGUGUGCUUAACACAUGCCAGUCGAACGGUAAGGCCCUUUCGGGGGUCCACGAGUGGCGAACGGGUGAGUAACACGUGAGUAACCUGCCCUCAUCUCUGGGAUAACAGUCGGAAACGGUUGCUAAUACUGGAUAUGAGCCUGCAAGGCAUCUUGUGGGUUGGAAAGAUUUUUUGGUUGGGGAUGGACUCGCGGCCUAUCAGCUUGUUGGUGAGGUAGUGGCUCACCAAGGCUUCGACGGGUAGCCGGCCUGAGAGGGCGACCGGCCACAGUGGGACUGAGAGACGGCCCAAACUCCUACGGGAGGCAGCAGUGGGGAAUAUUGCACAAUGGACGGAAGUCUGAUGCAGCAACGCCGCGUGCGGGAUGACGGCCUUCGGGUUGUAAACCGCUUUCAAUUGUGACGAAGCUUUUUGUGACGGUAGCAGUAGAAGAAGCACCGGCUAACUACGUG